This 35689-nucleotide long non-coding RNA is filed under the name Eucalyptus grandis. RNAcentral's name for it is "long non-coding RNA (EGRA_LNC004117)". Lineage: Eukaryota; Viridiplantae; Streptophyta; Magnoliopsida; Myrtales; Myrtaceae. The record is from RNAcentral.
UGGUCAAGAUGUCCUUGUGAGGGUACACUCGGAAUGCCUCACAGGAGACAUUUUUGGAUCUGCUAGAUGUGACUGUGGCAACCAGCUUGCACUUGCGAUGCAGCAGAUAGAAGCGGCUGGUAGGGGUGUGCUGGUGUACCUCCGAGGGCAUGAAGGAAGAGGCAUAGGUUUGGGGCACAAACUACGUGCCUAUAACCUGCAGGACGAUGGGCGUGACACUGUGGAAGCAAAUGUGGAGCUCGGAUUGCCCGUUGACUCUAGAGAGUACGGAAUUGGUGCUCAGGUACUUCUUACUUAAGUGAGAAACUAUUGUGAAAGGUCCUGCAUAAUUUAGCUUCUGAAUGAGGUUGGUUCAUGGUCAUCGUGAUUAUGCUUCAUGGAAUCGAGAAGAUUAAUAAACUAAUAUCGUUAAUCUGACAUUAAAGGUAGUUGAAUUUCAGUGACUGUUUCAUAUAUCGUAUGUACAUCAUAUGUAGGACUGACUAGAGGAAGCCGGUGACUAAAGCAGAGCUUCAAAUUCAUCUAAAAAAGAUGAGAUUUGAUUAAUACAAAGAAUCACGCCACCAUCAAACUCUUCAUAGCAUUUGACGCCUUUGUGUUGAUGCUUGACAUAUUGACUAACUGCAGAUGUUGCGUGACCUGGGAGUCAGGACGAUGAAGCUGAUGACGAACAACCCGUCAAAGUACGUGGGGCUUAAAGGUUAUGGCUUGGCCAUUGCUGGGAGAGUCCCUCUAGUAACUCCAAUAACAAACGAGAACAAGAGAUACUUGGAAACGAAACGGUCCAAGAUGGGGCACAUCUAUGGUGCGGAAGUCAAAGGCCGCUUUAGCAAUCUCAUAAGCAAAAACAGCAAGCCAAACGGUACUGUUUCUUCUGAUCCGGUUGUGUCUGACUCAUAGCAACUGCUGGAUCAUUCGACUGCUAAUGGUUUAUUUGGGGGGGAUACAAGCAAAUUCACUGACGGAUAGUGUUAUUACUUUAUUUUUUAAGCCCUAAGGUCAAGAACAUUCAGAUGCCGGUUGACCAUGAGUUAUUAUAAGGUUCAUUGUUGUUCUAUUGAUGUCAAUUCAUCCAUUUUGUACGGCGAGAAGGUGGAAGACCAGCCUCUUAGUGGAACUUCCUUUUUUGUUAUUGAUGGAUGGCAAGAUUUAUCCUUUAAUUCUACUUUCCUUGAAUCUGUCUGCAUUGAUAUAUAGAGACCAUUGCAUAUAUCAUGAAAGCAGGGCUGGUGGAGGACGUUCUUUCCUUUUCUGUGACCAUCUCAAUGAUCUCAUUGGUGACAUUUAUCACUUAAAGGAAUAUACUAAAGUCCCUGUUAGAUCAACUCUCCAUGCUACGUAUAAAGACUUGUGUACCUGGAAUUUUGGAAGAUGCAGUUUCCCUUUGUAAUGUUCACCAGUCUCCAAAAAAACAUCAGGAAAUACAUCACCAUAUAAGUACUUGCAGCAGAAAUGUUUACUUUCUUGAUCUGAUUAACUAAUCAAAACAUAGGGAAGCAGAGAUUUUUCUGUAGACAUGCCAAAGUUUACGCCUAUAUCUAGAUAUUCCUCCUGAAAAGGGAGACUUUGAGUUCAAUCUUAUCAAUUCUAACAAGCUCGAACACAGACAUCUCCUUCCUCUAGAGAAGUUCCUCUCUGAAAUGCACCCCCUUUCAAUCUUACCAAUUCUAACGAGCUUGAACACACAGACAUCUCCUUCCUCUACAGAAGUUCCUCUCUGAAAUGCGCCCCUUUCAAUCUUAUAAGUUCUAACAAGCUCAAACACAGACAUCUCCUUCCUCUAGAGAAGUUCCUCUCUGAAAUGUGCCCCAACCGGCGAAGAGCUUUCCUGAGCCAUGCUGUGGGUGGUACAGUAGCUUCACUGGUCAUGAUCCAUUUGACUAUUUAAGAGUUGCAGUUUUCAUUCUUCCAUUGAUGCAUCCCUUUAAAACCCCGCCUGGGACAGUCCACAGAGUUGAUUUUUGAUCAGCAAAUGAUCCAUGAGUAAGAACGUAAAAGGUCUGAUGACUAACACAAGUAACGUUAACCAGAACACAUGUAUAAUCUCAUAGGCAAACCCAAAUCAUGUAGGUAUACAGUGGUACCUUACGAGAAGGUAGUCGAUUUCAUUCCUUUCCAAGUUUUGCACAUAGGAACUAUUAUCUCUAUCUUUUCCUACCACAUUUUGCUUCAAUAGAUUAUGUAUUGGAUAACUACUGUGAAGGAAGGAUAUUGCAGCUCGUCCUUGUUGGCUGCUUCAAGAGCUGUAAUUACCCGCGAACGUUUAGAACUACGGGAAGCCGGCAUGGUGAGGCUCACCUUGCAUUUUGAAUUUUCAAUCCUACUUGAAUUAGUUAGGCAGAGAGCAUAAAGAAAAAUGACACAAAGCACAUGCAUUACUAAUAGGUAAGAUUCGCACACCUUCUGAAUCAUGUUGCAAAAGCUUUGCUCUUUGAUCAGUUUGAAAGCCUUUCGAUUUGGAACCUGAUGCGAGUCCAAUUGCAUGGGAAGUAGUAGCAUCAUCGACAUAACUAACGGGAUCAGAUUUCAUCACCUUGCAAGGCUUGUGAUGAUAUGGUUUUAGAUGCAAUUCAUUUUUCUCUUUUCUCUUCAGUGAGAAACCAUCUAAAUUUUGAAGUCCGAUUGAGAGAUUACACUGAUCAUCAGCGUCUCCCAUUCUAGCUGUCAACGUUCAUUGGCAGAUAAUCUAUCACCGAAGCGCUUUUGUCAAAUAUGAGUAAGUGAAAAUCUGAGUCCUCUACGUAUUUGAAGACCAAAAGGUGGCCCUCACAAAUAGAGUAGUGCUCCAUAAAUUCCUUCCAUCCCUUUGAUAAAGAACCAUAUCAUCCCAUUUUUCCAACUCCACCCUUCAAAUUCCAGCAUUUGGAACCCUCAAACACACUGUCUUCGGAAGAUUCUUGCAAUACUUUCUCACAAGCCUCUUUGGAAUACCCUAGUUUCAUAAUAUAUAAAGUCAUCAUAAACAAUAAACAAGCAGUGCCUGAUAUAUUCUAACAUUAACCAACUCGAAAGAAAAGGCGAGUUUGUAGUACGCUUCAACCUUCCAAGCCUUGGUAGGUCGAAAAGAUUUUUUAAGAAAAGAACUUACAACCUUCCAAUUUGAAGUGUCUGAGAUAGUAUGAUCUUGAAGAAAUGAGGUGUCUCCCGCGCAAAACUUCGCGGGUUUUCUACGUCAUCUCUCGGGCGACAAGCAGUCAUCCCUUGAACACAAGUUGAGUAAUGGGUUGUAACAUUUGAAUCUAACCUAGCUCUGUGCGAGCCACCUUUGUUAAAUGAAGCAUUUAAUUGGAGAAGACAUUAGAUAACGGCUAGCUUUGGGCGGCUGUUCAUCUUCUCUAUAGAUGUCAAUGGGUGACGAACUGUUAGCUUAGCUUACAGUACUAUGAAGAAAGAUUGAUGAAUAGGUGAAUGCUUUAGGAAGCCCUUUAAGAACUCCUUGGGAAUCAAACGCAUUAAAAUCAGGAUGAUGCAUUAGUUGAUGAAUAUUAUGUCAAGAAUAAUGUCAGAGAUGCUAACACUUGUGCGUCGCUUCAUAGUUACUAAGACCGAUAUCGAUGGAAUUAAUUUACAAAGUGACAUGUAAGAUUUUUAUUGAAUGUUUGAGUAUGGCACAUUUAUUCAUGUAUCGAGUUCUUGUGGUAUCUCUGAUAUAUUACGCUUGCAUCAAUAAGUAAUUAGUAUGAUCAUUGCCACUUGAUGUUCAGUCCAAAGACUUGACCAACGAGUAGGUCGAUGAGGGCAUUAGGCAUAAAAUCUCUUUCACAGACUUGCCAAUGAUCAAAUAAUUAAUUAACUUUGAUGGGGUCUAAGUAAUUAAUUAGCUUUGCGUGCUGAGCUAUAGAAGGGAAUUGCUUGUCUUGGCCUGCUCUUUUGCACCCGUGGCUUGGCGGAUCUCGGCAGACUAUGCCUUGAGACCAAACAUAACCUCUAGGCGUUAGAGAUGAUUAGGGUAAAAGCAGAGAUAAUUCACUGAAACUCAGAUCGGCAUCCAUUACGUUUGAGGAAGUCAACUUAUUAUUUCCUCUGAUGAGUCCAGAUUAAUCUAGGCAUUGAACAAUAUUAUUGCUAGAAAGGUCUUACUAGUAAUUCCUAUGACUAAGAAAUGGAAAUUAGACAUUGGGUACUUGCUGCAAACGGGUUGCGAACACCGUGUUUUUCUAGGCAAGAUUUUUUACUGACGAAAAAAAUCAUUCACAUAAACACAAAGAGUACGCUACAUGACUUCGUUUUUGACACUUAAGUGAUUACUUUCACUUAAGUGUCACUCGUGAUUAAAAAUGACACUUAAGUGUCAUUUUUAAUACCAAGUGACACUUAAAUGAUCACUUAUACUAUAACUUGAUACUUAAGUAAUCAUUUUUUUAACCAUGAUUGUCACUUAAGUGAAUGGAAGACAACAUCGUUUUAGACAAGGAUUGUUGAGUGGAGAUUCCGGUGAAUCACAUUGACUAGUUUUAUUAUUAAAAAUAAUGCCACAUUAGAUUUUCGGCAAACUCGUGCCAAGUUUUGGUACUCUUGGUGUACUUUCCUUGCCGCAAACUGAAGAACUUUAGCCUUUGGGCAUUCCUUGGCCGCGAGUCUGCAUUUUAUGGCGAUAUAUAUAUAAUAUAGGUAACAUUCAUGAUUUCUUUGUUCAAUUUCGUUCAUUGUUGUGUAAGUUGAAAAGGUGAAGGUCUUGUCCUCUCAUGGAACGUCCUCCUUCAAUGUCAAUCCCGGCUUUUAAAAUUCAUGCUUAUUAAUUCAGUUAAGUGAUUGCCAGACUUUAAUCCGAAUCUUCUUGUGUAUUGAUCACUAGAAAGCAUCGUUGUUUCACAAAAAAUGAUAAAAUAUCCUUUGAGAAUAUAAAUGAAUUGAUAUGAAACGAAAAAUUUUGCAAAGGGUCUUUUAUUAUUUUGGAAAGGAAAGUAAAUGACAAGAAAUUCAAAAGUACCGGAGGCAAUCGUGGCGAGCUAUGUAAAUGCAGGGAAGGAUAAAUUGUAUGAAAGAAAAUAAAAAAAUAAAAAAACAUUGACUUUGAUUGAUUGAGGCGGUUUACAAUGAAUACACUUGUGAUAUUUAUAAUUACCUAUAGACAAUUACACGCAGCCAUUACAUAUAAUGGUUACUAAAUUUGAAUAAAUUAAUAACUUCCUAAUCCUUUGUGCAAUUACAAAAAAUUAUACUGUGAUCUCUUAUCUAUAAGAUGUUAUGAAAUAACCAUCCGGCAGUUAUGUUCUGGCUUCAAUUCAUCAUUAUUGCCUUUGAGUUCUAACACUAAGUAAAAUCUACAAUGGCUGUUGAUGAUUUCGUUAAUAGGUGAAGGUUCUCAUAGAUAACUAAUGUUUACUGUUGAUGACUAUAUCAGAGAGUUGUCGAUUAUUUUGACCAAACUGUUUAUCGACUUGGCUUGUCAUUUAUUGAUAAUAACCAAAAGUUGGUCAUUUUUUAUCGUCAAUAAAUGCCCCCUUUUAAAAGAAUUGAAUGAUUCAUUGAUCAUUCAAUUUGAGAUGUAUUAUCAUCAAAAAGAAGAAAAGGACAACCGAGUGUGUAAAUGAUACAAUAGACAGUCAUGUGAUACUCAUUACAAAAUAAGUAAGCAUUCAUUGGUUUUGCGAGUUUAUUUCAAUAGCAGUGACUUUAAGAAAAAUGAUACAGAGUGCAUGUGUAGUGCCUUAGUACGCCACUUCCUAAGGUUCAACUUAUUCUCUUUUAUAUUAUCAUAUUAUCACGCGAGCGGAAGAUAUUAGUCAUCUUAAACAUUUGUAACAUGAAUUUGUAUAAAUGAACACAUUGUUACUAACUAAAAGGAAAAGGGAAACCAUACAUCUAUUUCAUUUAAAAGUAUUUACAUAUAUCGGAUGGACGACCAUAGCUGCAAAAGAAACCUAUUCUGGGAGAAUCAAAAAGAUGCUCCACUCCCUAACCGCCACUAUAUGGACGCCCCACGGCUACCACCAUCCAUCGCCACCCAAAUUUACAGUCCAAGCCAAAAAGUUAAGACUGUGAUAAUCAAAAGUGGUUUCCUCGACAUGUUAGGUCAUCCCCUAGCUAGUACUUGUCGUCACCUCCCUCAUCACCGUUGCCAUCAACAGGUACGGGAUCGGUCCCACUAGUCGUCCAUCCACCAGCGCAAAGAUCAGUACAAAACGAUAUGAUACGAGACCCUCUAGAGAUCUUAUAUCCACCCCAUGUGUGGCGGUAUACCUCACAAACAUCACCAAAGGAAAGUCAAGAUCCGUAAACUCAAAUAAAUCGCCAGUAAAGUCUAUAGGUGUAGCGUAACGAGAGAUGGGGACGCUGGGAGUGAAGGCAUGGUUAAUGAUCUGUAAAAACAAUGGGGGUGAGUGCAUGCUCAAUAAGGGAAGUAACUAGCUUAUAAACCCAUUGAUCCAACAAACACUCAAUUCCUACGAUGCGUCUAAUAUCUAAUCAUCACGCACACUUAAUGUGUGUUUAACAAGCUUCUCGCAUCUUGCAUGCAAUUCUAUUGGUUGAAGGGGCAGCAAGCAAUGAUUAAGAUCAAGAAAAAUCAACCUUAUUUCAUGCAAAAUAGACCUACGGUGGCCGGCUAUGCAAGCGUACACAUUAAAGUUCCAAUUGUGUCCUAUUUUGUAUAUCUUAAUUACUUAUAAUAUUCACACAUGACAUAGGUUAGAUGUGGCACCCCUCGAAUGGCCCCCAAUCCGCUCGGGUCGCCACAGUUCACUUGUCUUUCUCUUGACCUGAUAAUAUAUCACUUUGAUACUAUGUAAUUAUAAUAGGUCCAUAAGUCCUUGGGGUUUAUAUCAUUUAGAUUGGUCCCUGCGCAAUUAUAAAUGUAUAGCGGAAGCGAUAUCACCUCUCCCUAUCUCAAAAGUUUUGAAAUGAUGCACACCAAUUAGACAGUCUUAUAAGAUAAAGCUGAGCACUUUUAUUUACAUAAGCUAGAUAGACAUGAUUAGUCGGUACACCAAAAUUUGCUGGGGUUUUCUAUACUCGGCUACAUGCUCAAAUGAUAACCGACCUUCCCCUGACUUUCCUCUCCAUUCAGUCCUAUACAGAAGUCUAUCAGGCAGUGCCGGCAGUCCAAAAAGUUUCAUUUGCUACCUGUCAUACACGAUCACACCUAGCCCGGUCCAUCGGCUGGUGGCGACGGCAACAUCCCUAGCAUAAUUCCAUCAUGACGAAUGUGCACCGACAGAAACUCCUGAACCACGGGGCCAUAAGGUAAACCGAUGUCAUACAUGACUAGAAUCCGUAAUCGGAUGAAAACCAAUCCUCGAAUCCCUACAUGAGUGUGCUCUGAACACAUGCACUCAAUGUUGACUGGGGCACCGUAGAAAGUACCGUGUGUGACAGGCAGUAGAGGCAUAUUUUAAUCUGAAAUGUUAGUCCUCACACGGGGUGAGUACAACCAUUCAGCAGUAAAAGAUUCAUCAAACUAUAUCAAGCAUUACCAUCAAUAUUCAGAUUCAUGCAAGGUAGACAAAAACAAGUAGUUAAAGAAUAAGCGUAUAUCAAAAUCAUGAAAUUCUUCAACGCAAUGGCAAAUGUAGUUUCAAUGGCUGACAUGUCCGGUUACACAAGUCUCGAUCAUAGGGCCAAACUGUAAUGACAUGUCCCAUUUCAUGCCAUACAACUUAGUCCUAUAACCAGACCAACACACAUAUAUUAGAAUCAUCCAUUUCAUCAUUCAAAAGGUUUCAUCCCCCAAAGGACCAAUGUUUGUGUCCCUCCGGGCAUUCACAUCCACCCUGGCAUCACGAAAGCCUUCGGCAUUCAGCCACUUAGGGCCACCGGGCAUUUGGAGCAUAUCACGCCUCUGGCCAUCUCGUACCCCACCUGGCAUCACGAGAAAAACCCUCUGAGGCUCACCAUGAGAAUGGUUACCCUGGCCCUCCGGAUUUACGUACCGACUAGCAUACAACUGGGCAUCCUGAAGCUCCUGAGGAAAGACCUCCGGCAUUCAGCCACUUAGGGCCACCGGGCAUUCACAAGGCAUCGACUCAUUCGAUUGUUUGGGCAUCCCGACUCUCCGGGCAUCGUUGACCCGAGGGUCCAACGGCAACAAUUAACAUCUUAAUUUCCAAAAACACCUUUCAAUGCAAUAACAAGAUGUCCCAAGAAUCCUUCAUCAAAUAUCAAUAUUGCAUAAUAUGCCAAUGCCAGUAUCAUCAUGUCACAUAACAAUUCAAGAUAUAUUCAUCUUUGGGACAAUUUGUGCAAAUUCGAAACAAAACAACUUAAUCAUUGAAAUGCACAGUUCUGGUAAAAAUUUUGGAAUAAUUUCCAAAUGAACUUAUAAAAUUCUGAAAUUGUGAUAUGUUAUAGAUGAGACCAAAAGGAAGAAAUUUCGUGAAGGACACUAAGUCAAAUUCUCUGUGUAUAAAAAGUAAUAGUUUGCUGUUUCCUUCAAAAUUCUGCAGUAACUUUCAGAUGCAGCACCUACAGAAGAAAAUUCAUUUCAUCAACUAAAUCUCGUCCGUUUGUAUUCUAAUUUUGAUAUGUUAUUCCUAAGGAUGUUUCCUACAACUUUAAUUAGGGGUUUGAAGUCAAAUUCUAUCUAUAAAAUUUCAGAAAAUUCACGGAAUCAUCAAAGAUCAAGCCGUUCUCUAUAAAACAGAGUACUGGUUUUCAAUAGAUUUACUCCUAUCUUCAUAUUUUCACCUUCUUAUGGCUAUAGCUAGAUGCCGAACUCCAUCUAAUGGAUGUAAUCUUUAAAUAAAAUAGUUUCUUUCCUUAUUUUCAUCUAUAAAUCAAAGUGAUACAAUUAAAAAGGACUUUCCAUCUAACUUUCUCCAAAACAGAGUUGGCACAUGCAAUUUUCUUCAUUCCUAAUUCAAUCAAGUCAUUUGUUUCUCUACCAAUCUAUCUUACAACCCUUUAUGUCUCUUCCACAGCAUCUAAGAACACUUUCAGCAAGUUCUUAUUGACAGAAAAACCUUCCACAGCUCGGUUCAAUGCAUACAUUCAUCCCUAAACUCCCUCAUCUCAACAUGUACCACAUCCUUUCCCUCGGCAACCCUUUCCUCACCUUGCUUGAUCCACACAGCCAUCUCACACCCAAUUUUCGAAACACACAAGGCCCUAAUACAACAUGUAAUGGCUGGUAGCUUUAAUCUAUUACUUGUUUAGUUCAAUCCCACACAAAACAGCAACAUCACAUUCAAUCCUUCACAUUUCAGCAUUCAAUCUUCAUCUCUAUCAUCCAAAAACUCAACAUGCAGCUUCCUAUUUUGCAUUUUCUCACAUCUACCAGCAUUUCACCAGAAAAUUGCAGCAUGCAAAGACAUAGGUUGAUGAACUUCCACUUGCCUCUAACUCUUAGCUUGCUCGGCAACCAAAAACAGAGACUUCGGACUUUGAACGUAGCUCAAUCGGCGAUGGGGAUUGGCGGCGUUGACGGCGGCAGCUCGGACAUGGCGGAAGGUGAUCCUCCUCUUCUUCCCUCGUGGCUCAUGCCCGCGCACCCGCUCUCUCGCUCGAACUCUCGGUUUCUCCUUCUCUCUCCUUAGUUCCGAAUUCCUUUGUUUUCUUUCAUUAGUUAACUAAUUAAAUCUUGCAUGCAAGUGACAAAUGACUUCAAGGAGGAGACAAGUGGCUUCAAGAAAAGAACAAGUGGAGAGGGUGGCGUGGCCUCCCCAUCCGGUUUCUCCCCCCCCCCCUUUUGGUCGACAGCCUUGUGGGCUUCUUGGGCUUGCUUGGGCCUGAAAAAUUGAGGCCAAAAUGUCCAAUUUAAAUGGCCCAUAGUAAAAUAAUAAUAAGCCCAUAAUUUUCGGCACCAUUAUAAGGCAUUUUGGUUUCCAUAGAAAUCAAUAAAUAUUCCCAAAAUCAAUUUGCUUCAUGUAUAAGGAUAUAACCGAAAUUCUUGCGUACAGUCCAACUCCUCAAAAUUUUAUUCUUAAUUUUUCAGCAGGCGUGUCCCUCAUGCGUGACCGAAUUCCAUUCCUUCGGCACAAAAAAUAAAUUGACCAAUGUCCAAAUUCCUCUCUUAUUCCAUAUAUACUUAAUUGGUAUAGUUGUGUGGUGUGGUUUAAAGAAGUAUGCACAUAAAAGGUUCGGUCCAGGAGAUAAAAUAAUGCGGCUGUUGGUGCAAUUGUCCAUAUGGCCAUUUAAAGACGAAUUUCCUUUUCUUCAAAAGUAAAAUAUCGGGUCGUCGGGAUUCUCGGAUGCCACAUUAGAGUCACCAUCCCUAAGUUUCCUUAAAUAAUUAAAAAAAAAACAUGUGAACUAAUUAAAUGCACUCGUCGAUACUAAAAUGAUCUUCCGUGGCUCACGAUAUGGCUAUGUGAAAUUUGGGACGUCACAAUAUGCAUUAUUAAUAGGCUACGAUUCAUACACCUUCUGAAUCUUGUUGUUGAAACUUUGCUCCUUGAUCAAUUCAGACGCCUUUUGAUUUGGAACCCGAUACGAGUCCAAUUGCAUGGGAAAUGGUAGCAUCUACGACAAAAUUAACGGAAUCGGAUUUCAUCACCUUGAGAAGUUUGUGAUGAUAUGGUUAUAGAUGCAAUUUAUCCUUCUCUUCUCUUCAACGAGAAACCAUCUAGACUUUGAGGUCCGACUGAGGGAUUACAGUGAUCAUCAACAUCCCCCAAUUUAGGCAGAACAAAUUCGACAGUGUCAAGGUUCGAUUUCCUGCUAUCAACAUUCAUUGGCGGAUAACCUAUCUCCGGAACACUUUUGUCAAAUAUGAGCAAGUGAAAAUUUGAGUCCUCUACGUAUUUCAAGACUAAAAAGUGGCCCUCACAAAUAGAUUAAUGCUCCACUAAUUCCUUCCAUCCCUUUGAUAACCAAACCAAAUCAUCCCAUUUUUCCAACACCACCCUCCAACUUCCACCGUUUGGAACCCUCAAAUGCAACGUUUUGGGAAGAGUCUUGCCGCACUUUCUCACAAGCCUCUUUGGAAUACCCUAAUUUCAUAACAUAUAAAGUCAUCAUAAACAGUAAACAAGCAGCGCUUGAUAUAUUUAGCAUUAACAACAAAGAAACGUCGAGUCUGUAGUAUGCUUCAACCUUCCGAGCCUUGGUAGGUCAAAAAGAAUUUUUAAGAAAAGAACUUAAAAGCCUUCCAGUUUUUUUUUUUUUUUUUUGGUCGAAAACAGCGGUAUUAUAUAUUAAUGCACAUAUGAACAAUUGCUGUACAAAGCUUCAGAAUACAAAAGAUCCAAGAGGUGAGGAGGAGGAGAGACAGCCCAAUUUGAGGGGAGCAAGGAAAGCCCAUGGGAUUUGGCAGCUCAAUCGGUAAUGAAAUUGGCAGCCCAUCGACAGUGUUGGAUCUGGAGAUGGGAAAAACGGGGUAGAUGCGCCAUACCUUCAGCAAACAAAGCUCUCUGUUGCCAAGGAAUCAAAUUAGGGUUUCUUACCGCAUCCACCAGCAUCGAGCAGUCGGAUUCCAGUAGGAUACGAUCAUGGUUCUUUCCUUUUUGCAGCAGAAACUUAAGGGUAAGCAUCAAAGCUUGUGUCUCUGUUUGUAGUGCCGAAAAUGCGGUAAUGGUGCUGGUAAAACCAUCGAGCAGGUGGCCAACAGAGUUGCGGCACACACAAGCUACUAUGCCUUUGUUGUGAGAUAUUGGGUAAGCUCAAUCUAUGUUGAUUUUAAUAACUCUAGGCUUUGGUGGACGCCACAUAUGAGCAAGAUUUGAUGAUUGCAAUCUCGGUUUCAACGACGCCCUAUUGCAGAGGCGGGUGGAUCUGUAAUUUGCAAGAGUUGAUUGUACAAUUUGUUUAGGAUUCGAUUGUUGCUGGCGAAAUACAAGGUUGUUUUUGCCUUUCUAGAUUUGCCACAUAAUAGAAGUCAUCGUCUCCAUAUCAGGUAAGGCAUUCCCGUUUUCUAGUAAUUCUGCUAAGCAUCUGUCGAUUCUUGUAACACUGUGAAGGUGGGAUGUUAAAUUGACUUGUGGAUGAGACCAUAUAGCUUGUGUCCAAGUACAUGAUAGGAAGAUGUGUUCUGUAGUUUCCGGUACCUGUUCUGUACACAGUUGGCAAAUUGGGUCUGGGAUGAUAUGUCUGUGGAAAAGGUUAUCCUUUGUAGGCAAGGCAUUUUGGCAAAGAGACCACAUGAAGAUGUGAAGCUUGGGGGGGGGGGGGGCUGCAUGGGCCAAAUUUUAUAUUCCAUAACUUUCCAGGUGUUUGGUAAGAUGAGGAAGUAGUACUAUGUAUGUCCCUGUGGGUGAGUGCUCUUAUAGAAUUAUAACCGCUCUUUACCGUAUACUUACCAUUGAGUUGCCCUUUCCAAAUAAUUUUGUCAAUAGUAUAGGGAGGCCGAAUCUGUACUGAGAGGAUUCAUUUAUAGUCCGAUUGUCGAAGUUUUGUCGAAGGAGGGAUUUAUUCCAUGCAUUUUGGUUUUGGAUUAUAAAGUCUGCCACCUACUUAGCUUUGCCUCUAGGGCCUGACCCACCGAUGAUUCCACUAGAAAGCCACUUAUCCUCUCUAAUAUUGAUCCAUUGUCCGUCGCCUACUGACCAUUGGAGAUUGUGUAAUAUAGAAUCCUGGACUAGCAAUAAACUUUGCCAUCCCCAGGGGGGUCUAAACCCUUUAUUAGCAUUCCAAAAUUCUUUAGAAUGGAAAUAUAAUCAUUUAAAGAGUCUGCUCCAUAAAGAAAGUGGUUGUUGUAUUAUACGCCAAGCUUGUUUACCCAGUAAAGCCUUGUUGAACGCAAGGAGAUCCCAAAAACCUAGUCCCCCGUGUCUUUUCUAUCCUUAAGAGUGUCCCAUUUCUUCCGGUGAAUACCAGAUUUGCUACUAUGAGGUUGCCACUAGAACUGGCAAUUUUCUGUUCGAUAGACUUGAAUAGAGACAGAGGAAUUUUGAAGAUUGACAUGGCAUAUUGCAGGAGUGCUUGGACGACUGUUUUAAUCAAAAUUUCCUUGCCGCCUUUAGAGAUUAGUUGUUCUUUCUAACCUUCCAACUUAGAGUUUACCCUUCCCAAGAUCCAUGUGAACAUCUCUCUUUUAGAUUUCCCCCAGUCUGACGGUAUACCAAGAUAUUUGUCAGUCUUGGCUAGCACAGGGACAUGUAAUUCUCUAGCUAAAUUCACUUGAAGGUUAUGAGGACAAGCUUUACUAAAAAAGAUACCAGAUCUGUUGCGGUUUACUUCUUGUCCUGUGGCUUAGCAAUAUUGGUGUAGAAUAUUGGCUAAGUUAUGGCAUUCCAGGAGUUUUCCGUCUAAGAAAAAUAUAGGGUCAUUAGCAAAAAAAAAAAAAAAAAGAGAUAGGGUAGGACACCACCUGUUUAAAGUUAUGCCUCUGAUAUUGCCCAUAUUUACAACUUGAGUAAUAAGUGUAGAGAGGACGUUUGCCACCAGGAUAAAUAGGUACGGAGAAAGAGGAUCUCAUUGUCUUAAGCCCCUAGUCGGAUAAAAGUAGGGUAGAGGUUCGCCAUUGAACUUGACACUAAGGGAAACUGUUGUUAUACACUGCAUCACCCACUGAAUCCAUUGUGCAUGAAACCUUAGCUGAGUGAGCUAGUCCUAUAGAAAAUCUCAUUCCACCCUAUCAUAGGCUUUUUGCAUGUCAUUGGAUAGCCUGAAAAUUAUUUUUCCUCUUUCGAGUCCUGAUUUGAUGGAGAACCUCAUGGACCAUGAGAACAUUAUCCUGGAUUUGACGUCCACUGACAAAAGCGCAUUGUUUCGUAGCUAUCAGUUUAGGUAACUAAGGCUUCAGUCUAUUCGCAGAAACCUUUGAGAUGAUAUUGUAUAUAAAAUUGCAAAGAUUGAUAGGUCGAUAUUGGUCUAACUGUUCUGGAUGAGGAGUUUUUGGGAUAAGAGAGAGUAAUGUCCUAUUGAAUUCUGGUCGCAUCACUCUGGAAUGGAAGAAUCUUUGACAGAAAGAAAAAUAUCUUCCUUUAAAAUAUUCCAAUGGGAUUGGUAAAACUGUCCAUUUAAGCCAUUGGGUCUCGGAGCCUUGGAUGCUCCCAUUUGAAAAGCAGCGUUUUGGACUUCCUCUAGAGUGAUCUCAUUUAUUAGAGUAGCAUUCAUCUCCUCUAUCACCAUAGAUGGGCAUUGCGCAAGAAUAGGCCUAUAUUCGCGAUAUCCCACAGAACUAUACAAAUUUUGAAAGAAGCCUAAUGUCAUGUCCUUCAAAAGAUUAGGUUCAUGUACCCAUUGAUGAUGCUCAUUUUGUAACAUGCUAAUGCUAAUGCGAUUGCGCUGCCGCUUUUGGAUAGUAGUGGCAUGGAAAAAUUUGGUGUUCUUGUCCCCCCAUCUAAACGAAUUGAGCUUUGAACGCAUUGCCCAUUAUUGUUCCUCCUGUUGCCAUAAUAGUUGUAUUUUAUCUUUUAUAUGAGUAACCACCGCUUGGUUAUAUUGACCAUUGGGUUGAUUGAUAAGGUUUUGGAGCUGCUGCUUGAAGAGAUUGAUUUGAUUAUGACCAUGAGAAAACUUGGAUCGACUUCAGCUAGUAAGGGCUUUAGAAACAUCCUUUAACUUCUGAGGUAGGUUUAUACCUCUAGCUUGGGAAGAUUGCCAUGACGCAGCAAUGAUUGUGCGACACUCUUGGUCUUGUAACCAAAAGGAUUCAAAAAUAAAGAUCUUCCUUCUUUUGCCAGGAAUUGUUGUAGUUGUUAAUAGGAUCAAGCUAUGAUCUGAACCAAGUGCAGGUAAGGCGAAAACUUCAGCUGUAGGAAAGGUAACUCUCCAAUCCAUUGUACAAAGCACCUGGUCCAACCUUUCUUUUACACAUUCAUCUCCACCCCUAUUGUUAACCCAUGUGAAAGCACAACCUUUGCUUGCCACGUCCAUCAAAGAACAAUCAUUUAACAGUUCACGAUGGUAAAAAAAAAAAAAAGAGUUCACGAAAGGUGUGCUUGCAAUGUUAGUUUGCUGGUCUUUUGCCUAUUUUCUCCCAAGAAUAAAUUAUUUCAUUGAAAUCACUAACAUACACCCAAGGUAAUAUAUUAUAAUGACUAAUUUGUCUCAAGUCAUCCCAUAACAUAUGUCUGAGUUGGUACACAGCCGGUGCAUGUAAACAAGUAAGGCACAUUAUAGUUCCGCGUUCAUUAUAUGUACAUACCAUAUCAAUAAGAGCUAAAGUCUGCCAUUCCACUGUUAAAGAGACCCCCUCAUUCCAAAACACCGCUAAGCUGCCAGCCAAGCCAAUUGGAUUUUCAAUAACACUAUUUGGGAAUCUCAACCUAUUUUGCAUCCUUUUGAGUAGCACUUCUUGGUUUCUGGUCUUCAUCAAAAAAAGAAUGUCGGGCUUUUCUUGGGUCUUGAUGGCCCUUAGUGCUUGGAUUGCCAAGGGAUUGCCCAAACCUUGACAGUUCUAACUAAUUAGCUUCAUUUGUUACUUGGUGGCUAUUUUGGGCCAACCACCAAUGCCCAACUAUUGGAUUCUAUUGCCACAAAGAUUGGGGUAUCCUGUAGUUGAGUUUCAUCGAGUCCCUCUGAUAUAUGAAUGCACACGUCAGACGUGCUAUAUUGCUUUGCUUUCUUGAUGGGUCCAGCUUUUGGGUGCAAACGAGUGUGUUUUAGUUUCUUGGAUUUUGAUGAACCUACCGCUACUUUCUUCAUUUUGGUGAUUGGUUCUGCUGCAACAGGGGCUGCAGGUGCCUGGAUGAGUGGUUGCCAUUGAAGUGGUGUUGCAACAGUAAUGAUUUGGCCCUUACCUGGGAAUUCCACAACUUCCUUUUGUUAGUUGGUGUGAGGUUGAUGGACAAGGAUCAAGUUGGUAGGCGACUGAGGGGUCUCAAGGAUAACCUCCUCUACCUCCUCCCGGGAUGGUUUGGUCUCAUAAAAGGUACGCCAAAAUGGGCUAUGUUCUUGAACCUCUGCACGUAGCCAUUGAUCGUAAUAAAGGUUGUCCUUGCCUUCCAUUUUUUCCGUAUCGAAUGGAAAGGUUUUACAGUACAUUGCAUAGUGGCCUAAAACACCACAAGAGUAGCAAUAGUGAGAUAGGCAUUCAUAGCGAAAAUCUAACCAUAAUGUCUUUCCAUCCAAUUUAAGAAGCUGGCCCGUGGUGAGUGGUUCCUAUAAAUUGAGUUCUACCCGGACUCGUCCAGCUUUUAGAGAUAAACCUUCUCUCUAUUCUACUUUAACUUCUAACACCUAACCUACACGUCGCACAGCUUUGCUUAACAUAUGUUCAGUGCACCAUUCUAAUGGGAGCUCGAAAACUUGGACCCAAAAAGCACAGGUGGUAAAGUCGUAGCAAUGCAGAGGAGUGUUAGGAGUCCAGGGCUAUAAAUGACUAAGUGGUUGGAGAAUAGCCAAGGUCCAUUAUUCAAAAUCCUAUGUUUUUCCCCUUCUGAUUUGAACUUAACAAUGAGAGGACUAGUAUGAGUACCUAGAGGGGGGUGAAUAGGUACAAAAACAGAUUUUGUAAAAUAUAAGGUAAAACUUUUACUUUUAACCUGAGUUUGGUUGACAAUAGAUUUUGUAGAGAAAAUCAGGCUAUAGCAAUUAAAUUGAGUUAUUAACAAAGUAAAGGAGUUCAGGGAAGAGAAUAAGAAUACAAGAUUUAUAGUGGUUAGGCUUAAUCCAAGCCUAUGUCUACUCUCCCGCACUGAUAGCCCAUUGGCUGGAUUUCACUAUGAAUCAAAAGAGUCAUUACAGUAUCACGUCCUUAAUUCCACAGUGUAGAGGCUUUGCUACACUUCCUCAAGGUCUCUCAAGUAUCAAAAUUCUCUUUUGAGUACAAAUGUACGCUUAACAAUUAAAUUAGUAAAGAACAAGGAACUUCAGACUUUGGAAUUUUUCUAUCUCGCACACACUUGAAUAACUAGAGCAUCUUCCUUAAAUACUCAUCCAUGCCUUCAUAACCGUUGGCACCUUCUAAAGGAGUUCUUCCAAUCUACCCGUUGGACAGAAUUAAUUAGGGAGAUCUCGAGUUAGUUAAGAAAUGUGAGGAUAGCCCACCAAUCCUGCUCGCCCAUACAAUCAGGAUCUAGGUUUCCAUAAGUAGAACCUUCCAAGUUUACUUCAUCAAACAAUGGAUUUGAAUUACUUGAUUUAUUUGCAAUAUGAAUAAUAGAUCUUUUAGAUGCUAUCUCCAGCCGUGAGACAAUGUUCAACCAAACGAAUCAAAUCCUUAAAGAUAAACUUGCAACUGAAUAAGAUUUCUUCGUCGGUCUAGAAACUAUUAAUAAGGGCAGACUUUAAAUCUUGAGUCUAGCGGACUUCAGACUUUGGUAAAGGGAAAUGUUUUGUCAACUUCAAAACAGAUAAGGAAGUUUUCUCCAACAAUCUCCCCUUUUUUUUAUGGUGACAAAACUUUCUUGCAGAUUUGGACACUUUGACCUGCAAAAUAGCACUUAAGCAUACCAAGAUUUCUUACAGAUGUAAAUUAGAGAUUAAGAUAGAAAUAGUAGCAAUUCUGCAACCAUAGAAAACAUGUUAGUACAGUAAACACAACUAUUUUAAUGUAAUCAAUAAUAGCUUAAGUUGCAAGCAUCAACAAUCCAAGCCAGUCUAAAAACCACACCAAACAAAGAAGUUCAAAAGUUCAACACAGAAAAUCAAAAAGAUAGAGUUAAUCAAAUCUGCCAUAAAACCUCUCCCCCCUUUUGUCAGCAGCAAAAAGUGGAGAAAUGACCAAAGAGAUGGAGUUAAAAUCAAGGUUGUUUGGGCAGGCGAACAAGUGUGAAUUCUCCCAUAGAAUGCACUGUCUUCUUAAGCCUGUCAAAACUCUGCUUCAGCAACGGAAUAUCCUCACCCUGCAAAGAUUGAACUUGAAGCUUCAAGGUGUUCAACUGUUCUUGCAAUGAUACUGAAGUGGCCUUGAAUGCAUUCUUGAGAUCCUGUAUCUCAAAUCCCAUGGCAUAUUGCUGCUUUCUGACGUCCAAAAGAACUUCUAGCAAUCUUGAAAAGUCUAUCGUCUGAACAGAUGUAUCACUAAAACCAGCUAUGUCAAGGAUGGGGAUUUUGAGAAUCGAAGGAUUCUCAGUAGAAUGUUCAUCAUGACUGUCUUCUGGAUGGUGCGAGGCAUACAUAUCUUCAGGGUUUGCUGCAAAUCGACUCAUAUCACUAGCAAGCAAAGAUGAAGAAAUACAUUUUGGAUCAACAGCUCUCCCUGUUUUAAUGCCCUCAGGUGGAGUAGGUGAAGUUUCCUUAUCUGCAGAUGCACUAGAUAAUGAGAUAGCCAAGGUUGGCUUGAAAGAAUCCUCAUGACCCUAAUCUUGGUCUUCUUCUUCUUCCUCUUCCUCUUCCGCUUCUCUUCUUCCUUCCUCUGUCCUCCUUUGUUCUUCUGCCUUUUCUGUGGCUUCUCUCUCUCUUUCCUCUUCUCCUAGCUCUUCUCUUGUCUCACGAAAGCUUACAUAACUCUUUAAGUUUCUCAAAGUUGCUAUGGUUAGUUCAUCAUCAUCUUCUUCAUCUUGCAGGAUGAGACUUCUUUUCUUCUUCACAGGAGCAAUCAUGGGCUCCUUCCAUUUUCUCUUCGCAGCAGCAGAGUCUUGUUUUGCUUUUGUGGGAGACUUUUCCUUCACAUGCUCCAACACUUUGUUCAAUUCUUUCAAUCUCAUCUUUGUCACCAUUUUGAACCUAAUCACCAUAGGAGAAAUGGUUGACAAGUAUAGUGGUGCAAGGAUGUGAAUUUUGAAGUGUCGAAAGAGUCUCGAAAUAAAAGAAGAAUAAGGGAGUUGCCCUUUAUCUUUUUCCACAGUGCGGUACAUUUGAAACAGAAUGGUGUGAGGCAAGGAGAAUUUAUAUCUAGAGUUGAUAGCACACAUCAACUUAGCUUCCGAUCGAGACACAUUUGUUGUGGAUGUUGAUUUAGGACGAAUGCAGUUUAUCAUAAUCUUAUGCCGCAAUAUGUUGGAGGCACUCAUCCUCGAGUAAGAGAUUUUGCUAUCAACAUCCUUGUCUCUCACCAAAGAAAGAAUAGCAUGAGCAAUAUACACAUUAAUUGGUUGGAAACUUGAUCUUUCCACCCCAAUAAUGUUGGCCAGUGUGUUUGUAUCCACUAAAAACUCUCUGUCCUUCACAGUGAAAACAAAGCUGUUUGCAUUCAAGAAAGAUAGGUUCAAAUAAAAGUACGAAGUGAGUUCUGGAAAAGCAGCAGUGGAUUCAGAACAAAAUCGUUCUAGUUGUAGUAAAGCAAACUUCUCACGGAGAUUGACCUUUAUUGAAUCAAGAAAGUCAAAAUAAAUAGUUUUAGGGUUCAUAACCCCUCUCUUUAGAAGUUUCAAAUAAACCUUCUUGUGCCUCUUCGAUCUAAACAUAUUUGAGCCAUCAGUAACAUUUGCAGCCACACCAGAUCUAGGCCGAAAAUGAGCAAACAUCCGUUCAUCGUCUUCCUGAAGUUGAUUUGUAGAGCCAUAGAAUAGAUCACUUGGUAUGUUCUCAAACGUUCUGUCAGGCGUUCAUUUCUCUACAACUCCCAAUCUUUCCAAAUCUCUCAAAAACAUAGUUUCAUUCUUGAAUCCUCUAUCUUUUAAGAAUUCAUUGAUUAAGGACAUCGGUGUACCUCCUCUCUUUAGAUUAGAGUAAAGUUUAUAAGCUACCUUUGGAGUCAGAGUUCUUACGAGUUCAGCAUCUUCUAUGACUUCUUCUUCAUGUUGAGUCGGUGGAGAGGAUUGACGCAGUUGAGAAGGUUGUUGCUGACUUGAAUGAAGUGGGGGUGAAGAAUCUUCCUCCUCAGUUAAGUCAAAAUGGGUAGGAUCCUCAGGCAUAGAUCGUGGUCCCCUACUUGCAAUCCUUCAAGAUCUUCUCGAAGACAUUGUCACUUCGAGAGAGGAAUUCACCACUUGCUCGAAAAAGGAGAUAACUUUUUGACAGAUCGAGGGUGAAAGCGAGAGCAAAUAGGAAUUUUGUUUUCUAGGGUUUCAGUGUAAAAACGAAGAAGACAAGUCUUGGAAUUAUAUAAGGCAAGUGAAAUGAGGUAAAUGAAACGUCGUAAAAAGGAAAAUAAAAAAAAAAUACAUUUUUGAAAAUAACUGUCUUUUCAAAAUUGAUAACUGCCUUUUUGAAAGAGUAAAUUUUUUUUGGAAAGAUGACUUCAAUCAAUUAAUGAUAAAUAACCAGCCGUACCUUUCCAAAUUUAAAGUUUAGAAAUAACUUACGAUUAUUAUUCUUGGCUUUCUGAGUCUGAACACAUUCGGACUUUACAUUUUGAGUCUUGUGCACAUCCAUACUUUACUGGGUAAGAGAAAUAAUGUUCUGGUGCGAAUAGACUCAAAUAGACUUUUCUCCAGUGGCUUUGUAAAUAUAUUCGCUAGUUGAUUCUUCGAGUCAAUAAAUUGGAUCUUAACUUAUCCAUUUUGAACAUGGUCUCUAAUAAAAUGAUGUCGAAUCUCUAUAUGCUUUGCUCUUGAGUGAAGAAUUGGAUUCCUGGUGAGAUUAAUUGCGCUAGUGUUAUGACAUCUGAUCUCUGUGCACGAAUCUUUGAUUCUAAAGUCUCUUAGUUGUUGUUUAAUCCACAAGAUUUGAGAGCAGCAACUUCCAAGAGCCACAUAUUCUGCUUCUGUUGUUGAAAGCACUACUAUACUCUGCUUCCUUGAAAACCAUGAUACUGUCCUGUUACCAAGCAAUUGACAGGUACCGGAAGUGUUUUUUCUUUCAACUCGGCAACCUGCUAGAUCUGCGUCUGAAUAUCCAAUGAGAGUAAAGUCUCCCUCUUUGGAUAUCAUAGACCCAUCUUCGAGGUUAUUGCAACAUAUUUGAUGAUAUGUUUAGCAGCACUUAGAUGAAACUCUUUUGGAUCUAAUUGAAAUCUGGCACACAUGCAAACACUAAACAAAAUAUCAAGUUUAGAGGCGGUGAGAUAAAGAAGUAACAAAUACUAAGAAGUAACAAAUACUACUCCUGUAAAGUUUCUGGUCACCUUUCUUUCCUCCUUCAUCUUUUUCCAGCUUCGAAGAACUAGACAUUGGUAUUUCAAUCUUUUUGCAAUUGUCUAAACCAAAUUGUCUAACAAGUUCUUUUGCAUAUUUUUCUUGGUGAAUAAAGGUCCAUUCCUUCAAUUGCUUUACUUGUAAUCCAAGAAAGAAGGAUAAUUCACCCAUCAUGCUCAUCUCGAAUUCUUCUUGCAUAGACUUAAAGAAAUUCUUGCAUAAAUUUUCGUUAAAUGAUCCAAAUAUUAUAUCAUCAAUAUAAAUUUGAACAAGUAAAAUUUUUUUACCUUCCCUUUUAAUAAAUAGAGUAGUGUCUACUUUACCUUUGACAAAACCACUUUGAAUAAACAAUUUACUUAACCUGUCGUACUAAGCUCGAGGUGCUUGCUUUAAACCAUAUAGUGCAUUUUUCAGUCUGAAUACAAAGUUUGGUUUCCUUGGGUCUUCAAAACCGAAAGGUUGUUCCACAUAGACUUCCUCUUGAAUAAAUCCAUUCAUGAAUGUACUUUUGAUGUCCAUUCGGAAUAACCUGAAAUUCUUAUAACAAGCAAAAGCAAGUAAUAAUCUAAUUGCUUCUAACCUUGCUACUGGUGCGUAAGUCUUAUCAUAGUUUAUCCCUUCUUCUUGCGUAUAUCCUUUAGCCACAAGUCUUGCCUUGUUCCUUAUAACUUUUCAUUUUUCAUCCAUCUUGUUUUUGAAAACCCAUUUAGCUCCAAUAACAUAUUUGCCUUUUGGUUUAGGAGUCAGUUCCCAAACAUUGUUAACAUUGAACUGCUGAGUUCUUCUUGCAUAACUUCAAUCCAACUUUCAUCAGUUAAAGCUUUUUCUAUGCUUUUGGGUUCUAUUUCAGAAAUAAGAGCCACAAUGCUAGACUCUCCAUGCCUUUUGGAUCUUGUACGAAUUCUUUCAUCAAUGUUACCAAUGAUGAGUUCUUUGGGAUGACUGGACUUGUGCUUCUAGUUGUUGGUUGGUUUGACAGAUUGCUGAACUUAUUCUUCAGUUGAUUCUUCAAUAUUUGUUCGAUGUUGAUCUUUUGAAGUCUGAGCUGCUUUUGGGGAAGUAGACUUUGUAGAGUCUGGAGCAGGUUCAGAUUCUUCAGGUUGAUUUUGAAUCGAUUGAUUUUGUAUAGUCUUGAAAUUUGGCAUUCAUUGACUCUUCCACAGACUAAGUCUUCUUGUUGUAUACUCUGUAAGCUUUGCUGGAUGUUGAGUAUCCAAGGAAGAUUCAUUCAUCUGAUUUUUCUUCAAACUUACCAAUUUGAUCAUUUGCAUUUUUCAAGAUAAAACAUUUACAGCCAAAUACAUGAAUGUAAGAAACAAUUGGCUUCUUUUCUUUGAACAACUCAUAAGGAGUUUUCUCCAGAAUAGGCCUUAAGAAUACUUUGUUAAUAAUAUAACAUGAUGUAGAAACUGAUUCAGCCCAAAAAUGAGAAGAAAUGUUGCUUUCAAUUAAAAGAGUUCUAACCAUUUCUUGCAACGAUCUAUUCUUUCUUUUCACAACUCCAUUCUGUUCAGGAGUGUAUAGUGAGGAGAACAAAUGCUGAAAACCAGAUUCAUCACAAAAUUGAGCAAAAUCUUGAUUUUCCAACUCACAUCCAUGGUCUGUCCGUAUAGUUGAAAUAACAUAUCCUUUCUCAUUCUGUACUUUCUUAGCAAAUUUUGAAAAGUAAGAAAAAGUUUUAGACUUAUUUACCAGAAAAUAUACCUAAGUAAAUCGUGAAUAAUCAUCAACUAUUACUAGGCAAUACAUCUUUUCACCAAUGCUCUGAGUCCUAGUUGGUCCAAAGAGAUCCAUGUGUAGGAGCUGCAUCACACGAUUAGUGGAAACUUGAUUUAUUGGUUUGAAAGAAUUUCUAACUUGUUUUCCCAACACACAUGGUGUGCAUAAUUCAAAUUUUAGUACUUCAGGUUGAGUAGUCCACGAACAAGUUUCUUUGAAGAGAUCUUGGCAAUUUGCUUCAUGUUGAUAUGGCCAAACUUUCGAUGCUAGAGAUUUUCUUCAUCUUGAAUUGAAAUUAGACAUUGAGAUCUUUCUAGAUUGAUGUCUAAAAGAUAGAUAUUUCCAUGUCUUCGCCUAGUAAAAGAUUGUGAAAGAUCUUUACUAGUCCCUGAAUAUAUUCAUUCUUGAAAAUUGAUGUUGAAUCCAGUGUCGCACAAUUGGUUGAUGCUGAGCAAGUUGUAAUUAAGUCCUUCCACUAAGGAGACGUUGUUGAUUGUAAGACUUCCUAUCUUUACAGUUCCACAACCGACAAUUCUUCAUUUGCUAUUUCCACCAAAAGAACUCUUCCACCGUUAAUGUGCAUAAGCUUUAUGAAACAACUUGAGUCCCUUAUCAUAUGUCUUGAGCAUCCACUAUCCAAGUAUCAUUUGACUCUUCUCUUGAUAGUGACCUGCAGUUGAAAAAGAAACUCAAGCUUUCUUUGGUACCCACACUUUCUUGGGUCAAAUGGAGUUAGUGCAAUAUACGGUCUUUGCCCAAAUUUUCUUAACAGGUUUCCAAACCAUGGGACAUUCUUUCUCAAAGUGAUCUAAGCUAUUGCACUUAGAAUAUUUAAUGACACUACGACCAACGGGUUUUACAAACACUUUUUGAAAAUGAUUUCUAUAAAAGUCUUUUGUAGGUCUUUGUUUGAUCUUUUCUUUUACUUUUGGAAAAUCAAUUAGAGGAAUGGUUUCAGAAGUCAUUCCUAAGCCUGAUUUGAUAAAGUAAGGUCUUUGUGCUGAAAGAAUCUUUUCCAAUUUCUCAGAUCCUAUAGAAAACCUUUUUGAAAUACUUGAAAUAUCAUUUUUCAAAAGUGUAUUUUCUUUUGAAAGAGAGUCUGCAUUUUCUUUCAAAGUAAUAAGACUUUUAUCUAAAUUUUCGACCUUUUCUUUCCAAACAAUCUCCUGUUGCUUUAGUGCAGAAUUUUUCCUUUUUAGCUCGAAAAUCCUCUUGAGAGAGGUUUUGAGACUAAGACACAAUUCAUCAGCAUAUUUAAAGACUUUAGUAGGAAUUUUUAAAUUACUUACCUCGAUUUCACUGUCUAAGUCUGAAUUUGUGUCCGUCUCAGAAUCUGAAUCUGAUUCUGAUUGCGCAAUUAGACAAAUAUUAGCAUAAUCAUCAUCACUCUCUUCGCAUUCGGUAUCACUCCAAGUUUCUGUUUUGAGUGCCUUUAUGUAUUUAUUAGUUUUUCCUUUCUUUUUCUUCAGCAAGGGACAGUUGAGUCUAAUGUGUCCAUUUUUCUUGCAUUCAAAACAAAUGACAUCUCUAUUGGAUUCAUCGUCCUAAGCUGAUUUAUUUUGAAACUUUUGAGAGCUUUGUUUUUUCCAAUUGAAUCUUCUUCCCUUCUUGUUCAACUUUCUAAACUUUCUUAUUAUGAGAGCAAGCUCUUCAUUAUCCAUAUCGUCUUUAGAAUCUAUAACAUCGGAAUCAUCAUCAGAUUUUAAAGCAAUAGAUUUUUUUACCUUUGGGAUCUUCCUCUUCAUUGAUUUGCUCCACUUCAUAAAAUUGAAGAGUGCCAACCAAUUCAUCAACGGAGAGUGGCAUGAUCCUUUGUGUUUCUUUUAUUGAGGUCUUUACGUGAUUCCAAUAUUUGGAAAGUCCACACAACAGUUUGUUAACCUUCAAUUGUCUUGAAAUUGGUUGAUUUUAAUACUCAACACCAUUUACGAUUUCUGUAAAACGACUAAGCAUGUCAAUGAUAUAUUCUCCUAGCUUCUUCUUAAAGGCUUCAUAUUGACCGAGCAGAAUAUUGAUUCUGGUUUCUUUCACUCGAUCAGUUCUUUCAUAUGUGAUGUGCAGCUUAUCCCAGACUUCUUUAGCUGUUUCACAAGAAGAUAUUCUAUUAUAUUCAGUAGGAAAUAAUGCACAAUAUAAGAAAUAAAUUGCUUUUACAUCAAGAGAUUGUCUCUUGGUUAUCUCUUCUUUAGUCAUCUCGGUAGGCUCAACAGCUUUUUCCCCCUUUUUGAGACUAUUGUAGCUUUAGGAAUGAUUCCUUUGUCUAUCACAUCCCAUUCCAUAGGAUCUUUUGAUCUUAGGAAUGCCUUCAUCUUGUUUUUCCAUAUAUUGUAUUCCUUUCCAUCAAAAUAAGGCGGUAUGAUAUUGCUUUGCCCUUCAACCAAACCUGGAGCCAACAUACUAACCAUGGAUCUUUAACUCUGAAAUAGAAACACUUCAAUUUAAAUGAGUACACAGAACCAAACCUGGAGCCAACAUACUAGCCAUGGAUCUUUAACUCUGAAAUAGAAACACUUCAAUUUAAAUGAGUACACAGGCUUUGAUACCAAUUGAGAUGGCUAGUAUGAGUACCUAGAGUGAAUAGGUACAAAAACAUAUUUUGCAAAAUAUAAGGUAAAACUUUUACUUUUAACCCGAGUCUGGUUGACAAUAGACUUUGCAAAGAAAAUCAGACUACAUCAAUUAAAUAAAGUUACAAACAAAGUAAAUGAGUUCAGGGAAAAGAAUAAGAACACAAGAUUUAUAGUGGUUUGGCUUAAUCCAAGCCUACGUCCACUCUCCCGCACCGACAGCCCACUGGCUAGAUUUCACUAUGAAUCAAAAGAGUCGUUACAGUAUCACGUCCUUGAUUCCACAGUGUAGAGGCUUUGCUACACUUCCUUAAGGUCUCUCAAGUAUCAAAAUUCUCUUUUGAGUACAAAUGUACGCUCAACAAUUGAAUUAGUAAAGAACAAGGAACUUUAAACUUUGGAAUUUUUCUAUCUCACACACACUUGAAUAACUAAAGCGUUUUCCUUAAAUACUUCUCAAUGCCUUCAUAACUGUUGGUACCUUCCAAAGGAGUUCUUCUAAUCUACCCGUUGGACAAAACUAAUUAGGGAAAUCUUGAGUUACUUAAGGAAUGUGAGGAUAGCCCACCAAUCCUGCUCGCCCUAAUAAACAAGAUCUAGGUUUCCAUAAGUAUAACCUUCCAAGUUUACUUCGUCAAACAACAGAUCUGAAUUACUCGAAUUAUUUGCAAUAUGAAUAAUAGAUCUUUUAGAUGCUAUCUCCAUCUGUGAGACAAUCUUCAACCAAACGAAUCAAAUCCUUAAAGAUAAACUUGCAACUGAAUAAGAUUUCUUCGUCGGUCUAGAAACUGUCAAUGAGGGUAGACUUUAAAUCUUGAGUCUGGUGGACUUCAAACUUUGGUAAAGAGAAACGUUUUGUCAACUUCAAAAUAGAUAAGGAAGUUUUCUCCAACAAACAACAUACAAGCAAGCUUCACUUUGAGAUAUAUCUACUUGAUCAGCACGCCAUGCUCUUUUCAUAGUAUUCUGAAAGGCUGGAAAAUUAAUAGACAAGUUAGAGAGAAUCUUACCUAGCAAGAUCAACUUACAUUCCUCUAAUUUUUCCAUUGGGGCAGCAUCCUCCCAGAUUUCAAUUAUUUGUGCUGACCAUAGAUGUCCCAUUUUGUUACACAGGGCAGCGAGGCGAGCGUCGUCGCCAUGGUCAGUGUGAUCUAUCCUGAAAGAAGCCACAGUGGAAUGAUGGGUGUGCCCUUCAUGGGCAGAAGAAUCCAUCGACUAGCUGGCGCAAGGGGAAUUUGCUAAUGAGUAAGUGAUUCGAGACUGUCCACAAACAUCGCAACUUAAAGCAAGCUUGAAAUUAAGCCGCGAGAACCAGGGAUAACUAUAAAACAGGGGAAAUGGACAUGCAAAGAGAGAGAUGAACAUAAAUGAAAACUAGGGGCGAGUUCCAUUGUGAAACAAGAGGAGAAUUGAUGGGCAUAAAUGGGUCUGUGGACAAUUGAACUGUUCCAAAUGAGAAAUGGAGAUGAAACAUGAUGGGAAAUGCAUAAUCGAACAGCGAAAUGGAAGCAUGAAGGUGAGCAGAAGUGAAAUUGGGGUUCUGGUGAGAAAACAACUACCAUGGAGGUAGAGAGAGCUCUCCUUCCAGUUUGAAGUGUUUGAGAGAGUAUGAUCUUUGAAGAAAUGAGGUUUCUCUAGUGCAAAACUUCGCCAGUUCUCUUCAGGUGCGUUUGGGAAGACUUUUGGGGAAAGUUUUUAGGAAAAUGCAAAGGCCUUUGAGUUAAAGAUGUUUUCUAAAAUGCAAAUUGUGUUUGGUAAAUUUUAUUGUAAAAGUCGUUUUCCAAAAUGGGCGAAGGUCAUGUGCCUAGGUCGCGGAGGUGGCGGAGGUCGCUUGGAUCGCGACACGCGACCUCCGCCACCUUGCCAUGACCUCCGGCGACCCAAGACCUCGACACAACCCAGAUCUAGUUUGCAGAGGUCGCCUGGGUCACGGUACACGACCUCCUCCACCUCGUCGUGACCGCUUGGGUUGUGGCAGUCAUAGAGGUUGCUUGGGUUGCGGCGAGUGUCGCCACGACCUCCGGUGACUCACGACCUUGUCAUGGAGGUGGUUGGAGGUCAUUUGCAACCAUAUGGGUCACGACCUCAAAUUCGGUCGCCGCGACCCUUGUUGGAGGAUCGCUUGACGCACCGCGACCUUCGCCGAGGCCAUGUGAUUUGGGUCCUGCUGAUCGCCGCGCCGCACGUCGGAGGGUUACACAACCCUCGCCGAACCACCUACCUUUGCUGAACGGCCUGCGUCAGACUGCCCACCCUUCGCUGGACCACUUGCUCCUCGCCGGCGACUACUUGUUCUAGCCGGCCAAUUCUUUUUAUUAUUAUUUAUGAAUAACAAAAGGCUUUGCAAAUAUAAUUUUCCCAAAACACCAUUUUACUCAAAGAUACUUGAGAAUGGACUUUUACAAUAAAAUUUACCAAACACAAUUUGAAGGGUGCAUUUGGGAACCCCUUUGUAAAGCUCUUUGGGGGUCCAAAGCCCAUUUACCAAAAUAUUUGGUGUUUGGGAACACCCAAUAAAACUCACCUCAAAAGAAAUGCUGGCAUUCUAAAGGUUGAAAGCCCAAGGAAGCCUAGGGGGCUGCCUUGGGCUUUCAACAUUUUGAGAAUGGCCCAAACAUUGUUCAUCUUCUUCGUCAGAGAGGCCGGUGAGGUGUUGUGAUGGGUCGGCUACGGGCAAGAGAGGCCAGCAUGGUUGCGGCACCUCAGCGACUGUCGCCAACUAGUUGUGCGACCCAGAUCUGGGUCACGGCGAGUUCAUCUUCUCUCCGGCGACAAGAAGUCAUCCCUUGAGCACAAGUUAACUAAUAGGUUGUAACAUCUGAAUCUGACCUAGUUUUGUGGGAACCAACUUUAUUAAAUGAAGCAUUUAAUUGGAGAAGACAUUUGUUUCAGGGAUAACAACUAGCUUUGGGAAGCUAUUAAUCUUCUCUAUAGAUGUUAACGGGUGACAAUUGCUAGCUUAGCUUACAUUACAAGGAAGAAAGGUUGAUGAACAAGUGAAUGCUCUAGGAAGCUCAUUAAGAAGAAAACCUUUGGAAUCGAACACAUUAAAAGCAGGGCAAUAUGUUAGUUGAUCGAAAGUACAUCAAGAAUAAUGCCCAAGAUGCUAAGACUUGCAUGUCGCUUUAAAUAUACAAAGACCAAAACCAAUAGAGCUAAUUUACAAAGUGGCAUGUAAGAUUUUUAUUGAAUGUUUGAGUAUGACAUGCUUAUUUAUGUAUCGAGUUUUUGUGGUAUCUCUAAUAUAUUAUGCUUGCAUUAAUAAAUAAUCAAUAUGACCUUUGCCACUUGAUAUUCAGACCAAAGACUUGACCAACAAUUGGGUCGAUUUAGGUAUUAGGCAUAAAAAUUCUUUCAGGGAUUGGCCAAUGAUCAAAUAAUUAAUUAACUUUGAUGGGGUUUAAGUGGGUCUAACUUUACAUGCCAAGCUAAAGAAAGGAAUUGCUCAUUUGCAACAUAGUUGCCCAUAAAUAGUAUUGAACUCGUUUAAGUGUGCAUAAAAAGAAUUGAUUUCACUCAUCCGAGGGUUGUACAAUCACCUUUGUAAAAACAACCUAUUCACCUAGGUAGCACCGACACGUUGCUGGAGCUUCUGAGUUGUGUCGACAUGUUUCGACGUGUCCGACACGCUCAGACACGUUCGGAUACGCGUUGAUCGCGUGUCGACAAAUCUGACACGUGGUCAACGCUUGUCGACACGCUUCGACAUGCGUGUCCGAAAGGGUGGAGGCCGCGAGUGAAGGCGAGCCCGCGAUGGCGAGAGACGGCCAGAGAAAGAGAAAAGAGUGAGGUGAGGGCUGUGAGGAGGAACUUCACGAGGGAGGCACUUGUGGUGGAGGGCGGCGUCGUCGAGUGGGGCGGCAGCGGCUGCAAGGGGGAGGAGGAGGAGUUCGCGGCGGUGUGUAGCCUCUCCACGCACAGGGACCGCGCGUUCCGCCUUCUUUUCCGAUCCCUUCCACUGAAAUUUUUUCUGGGUUACUCCCUUUUCCGCUCCUUCGGCGAAUGCUGGUGCUUUUCUUGCGAGUCUUCGAUGCUUUUGGAGAUAGGCGUCGUGCGGCGAGGAUUGAGGAGGAGGAGAAGAAGGUGCCGUGCUGCUAGGUUUUGAGAACUGAGAAGGAAAAUAAAAGAUUAAAAAAGGGGCUUGCGUGUUGAAGGGAGGAGGAAAUGACAGGAGGGAGGGGAAGGGAUGACUGUCAGGUGGAGGGGAGGGAAAAAAGUGAAAAAAUUUGGGGGUGGGGUCUGUCGAGGGAAAAUGAAAUAAAAGUAAAUUUGGGAUAAUGAAAUAAAAAAAAAAACUUAGAAUCUUACCGAAAAUGUUGAAUGAUUAGUGUAAAUUUAUAAUAAGUUCUUUUUAAAUUAAUUAAUUAUUUAUAAAUUUGAAAAAUACAAAUAUUUAUUUAAUAUAUAACGUGUCCCAGUGUGUCGGAAUUUUCUAUUUUUGAGAAAUGACGUGUCGACGUGUCGUGUCGUAUCGUGUCGUGUCGUGUCGGUGCAACCUAGCUAUUCACUAGCAACUUACUCUAAUAAAGAUUUUCCAACUUCAUCCAAAGAUUCUUCACUAUCCUCUAAGAGGUCAUGUUCACUAGGAUGUUAUCAGCAAGGCAUAUCCAGAUUAGGCCUUAUGCCCUCCAAUUACUAAAUGUUCCACUCCUUCAAUUCAGUGGACAUGGAUUCCUUCAACUCAUCCUCCUUCAGCUUCUCCUUGGUAUUCUCCUCAAGUGUUAUCACCUUCAAUCAUGUGCCACAUGUCUUUAUCCACAAGCAGAGCCUUCAUCUUCAAUUUCCAUAACUCAAAACCCUUUUUUUUCUGAAUUUCUCCACUACAAUCCAUUAUCGAUCUAACGAUGAUAUCUUCCCAAGAUUCAAUUUUUUUUUUUUUUGGAUCUCUCUUUACCGAGAAAAUUUUAAUAUCAAACCAAGCUCUGACACCAGAUGUUAGGAUUCACUACACAAUCACAAAGAAAAAAAAGACUAAAAGCGAGAAAAAAUUUGAGAUGCAAGGAUUUAUCUUAGUUUAUCCUUAAACUAGAGCUACAUUUAGCUGAGAAUUCUACAAUAAUUAGCACCUUGCACUUCUCUAUUGCAUCCUUGAAUUAUAAAAAGAAAGAAUAUAUAUAUAGCUAUAAAUGAGCCCAAACUUAACUUACUAAUGAAAUAAGAAAAAGAAGAUAUAUAUCCAAGUAGGAACUAUACACACGCAGAUACAUAUGCAAUAACUAUUCAUGAGUUCAAACUCAGAUUACCAAGAAAAUAUGAACUUAAACUAUAAAACUCUCUAAUGUCGCAGGGCACUGCCCCACAUUUUUUGUACACUUUAUAAGCCUCAUGAACCAACCACAAGCUUGAUACUUGUGUAGGUGGUCCUAAUUUAAAGUAGUUGCAUGUAAUUUGCAUGUAAGUGUCACGAGCUAAUCGCAAACUUUAGGCUUGUGUGGUAGUACUAACUCGAAGUAGUUGCACGUAAUCCGUAAGAUUCAAGUGCGUGAUUUAUAUAUAUAUAUUCUCUUAUUUGAUAACUUUACCUAGUAAUUGAGUCUACUAAAUUUGGAAAAAGAGAAUUAAAAAAAAAAAUCCCUUUUAAAGUAAUCUCAAAAGAAGAAUAAAAUGAUAGAGUUUGCCAAGUGCAAGAUAAUUUUUUCUUACAGUAGAAUCGCCUUUCUCGUGUAACCUAGAUCUACCAUAGUUAACUACAGUAAGUGAUUAAUUAGCACUCUAGAUAUUGUUGGCCCAUAUACGUUAAUUGCCUUAUAUGUGACCAAAAGCUUAUCCUUCCCCCUUUCAAUAUAUAUAGAAGGCUAUUGACUCCAAAUUUCCAAAUGCAAAAUGGCAAUAUCAAUUUCUAUUGAAUUUAUUGCCGUUUCUAUGUAUUCUUAUCACGUAAAUGGCAAUGUUGAAAAGGGAAAGCAUAUCGAAAGAGAUUUCCCCUUCAACAAUAUUUGCAGGAUGCCCUUAAAAUCAUCUCAUUGCCAAAACAAGGCCUUUAUUUUCUUGUAUUUAAGGCCUAUUGGAAGGACCUUUUGUCUCACCAAACCCCCAAAACUUCCUUUUGCAAUUAAAGAGUCUAACUCUAGAGCAGAUCAAGUCAAUUUUGCUCGCUGCAUUUGCUGAUAUGGACUCCCACCUCUCCCUUUUUGGGGGAGACCCAUCACUUUUCUGUACCGCACCCCAGCAGCUUGGGGGAAGGCAUCGCGGGAAUCAGGGCUGCCCUCCCAUUCCUCGUAAAGGGGGUUAUGGCCGGGUAGGGCAAUGGGGCCGGAAUCUUUAUCGAGGCCCGGAUCCCGGCCUCUAUCCAAUCUUUCCUGGAUGUCAUAAUCUUUUAAGGUGUUGCUAAGAACCCGAGUAAACACUCUCAUGCUUCACACUUAAAAUUUACAUAUGUGGUUGCAUAGUCUUUAUGUCCCUCAUUUCGAGAUGUUAAGCGAAGUUGUUCUAGUGUUUUUCAGGUCUUCAUUUUUCUCUCCACUUUUUUGUUAUCGGUAGCUCCCAUUUCAUGAGGAAAGAAACUUAAAAUAUUGGGAAACCCGAGUUUUCCCCUUCUUUCUAAUUGACUUGGGGCAGUCUCUUGGAUCUAUAGUUUUCAAGAAUUUAUGGACUAACCGGUUUCGUCCUGAUACAAAUUCGCCCCGAUCGCUUCACCGCAUACCUAGUGGUUGACAAAGGGGUGCCACCUUAUCUAUGAUGCUAUUAAACAUUUGACAUGGCAUAGCAUGGCAAAAUCAUUGAAAUUCACCGUAGGACACGACCGUUGUGACUGAUUUUGCUUCUGAGUAGAUGAAAAACGUUUUUGAAGGAAAGGAAAGAAAAAGGUACAAAGUCUGCGAAAGGGUGCUCCGAGGACAGACUUGGGCUUUUCUCUUAGUUAUGUCCGUUUGGAAUUUCCAAGCGAACAACAUUAUACCGUGUAUUUUCUUUUCUUAAAAUAUUUUUCCGUAUCCGUUCGUGACGAACCACAGUAAAAUCGUGAAAUCAUUUUAUGGUAUAUAACCAUGCUUUUUUAUUCAUUACAACGGCACGUCGUGAUAUCAAACCGUAGGUCCGACAUAUCAUAGAAGUACCGAUUUAUUUAUUCAAGUAUAAUCAAACGGAUGCUUCUGGCACGCCAAAGCAUUGUAUCUCGUCACCUCGCCUACUGCUUUUCUUUGCUUUGGGUUGACCAUUCAUUACUUGAAACGACUCGGACUAUUCUCAUGUAAACUACACGUCUAAACUUGCUUCUCUCAAGUUGGAAAAGACGGAUCCAUGUAUCGAAUGCUGCUAACUAGUCGUUUGAAAUGAUUGAUCUUUUGCGCCUUCAUUGUUAGUUUCGACUUCUAGAGAGUGGAUGCUGCGCUGAGUUUAAGUAGGUUUUGCUAAUGUACCAAGAUUGAUGCUUUUUUCCAAGCUUAUCCUCAUGGUUAAAAUCUAACUGGCCUUAUUUCAUGCAGAGUUUCCAGAAACUCAAACUCAUCCAAUUUGCUGCUUCAGGCAAACCCCUCUUUGCAAAUUGGUUUUUCAUCUGAUCUAACUGCGGAUUUGUUGGGUGGUAAAUUAACCUCCAAUGGAAGGGGCGUUGUUGCAGCAAAAGCUGCAGCGAUACCUGGCGGAGGUGAAACUUUGUCUUAUCCUGGUGAUGUUGCUUUGAGCGAGACUCUGAUAGGUGAGGAAUCAGUUGGCAUUCAAUUGCAGCCCGAUGCGGUAGCGGAUGGGGCGCUUGCAGCUGAAACUGCGCCUAUAAGCACUUUUUUCCCAAUCGAAGAUGAUGAAUUUGACUUGGACCAACCCACAGCAGGCUUUGCAUCUAUUCCAGAAGCGAUUGAGGACAUUCGCCAAGGAAAGGUCAGUAUGCUUUCUGUAUUACAUUAUCGAGUUCAUAUUUUAAUUUUUCGUCCGUAAAUGUCUAUGUCAUGAUUGGAACUGAAUUCCAGAUCGUAGUGGUGGUGGAUGAUGAGGACAGAGAGAAUGAGGGUGAUCUUAUACUAGCAGCAGAAAAGGCAACGCCUGAGGCUAUGGCAUUUAUUGUGAAGUAUGGCACUGGGAUUGUUUGUGUGAGCAUGAAAGAGGAAGAUUUGGAGCGCUUGCAACUUCCUUUGAUGAUGAGUGACAGGGAGAGUGAAGAGAACCCUCAGACUGCGUACACUAUAACUGUGGUAUGUACUUUUAUUCCCCUACAUCUGUUUCUCAAUUCAUGAAAUUUUUGUCAAAACUUAUUUGAAGAUAAUUGAUUGGUACUGGUUCCUUCAGGUAGGGAAAAUUUGAACUUUCUGUUUCUUAUCCAAUGAAUUUAUUGUCAAUUCUACUUUGGUUUCUUAGAGAUUUAUGUACUUAAGAAAUGGCCCUUUGGAGAAUAAGACACUUCAGAUUGUUACUUGUCCCCAGUCAGUAGAGGUCUUGAUUUGUGAAGUGUUAUUGGAAAUGAAUUUUAUAAAAAAAUGAUCAAUAAUUCCCACUUUCUUUCAUACUUUAGAAGAACAAUAUUGUUUUCUUCAACUCUUGACGUCCUAAAAGCCUUCGAUCAGCUUAGUUAUUUGUGUCAUGACAUCUGAUUGGCUUUUCUCUUACCUUGUAAUGGAUGGUAAUUAAGAGAUAUUGUUACAGGAUGCAAAGCAUGGGACGACUACAGGCAUAUCAGCACAUGACAGGGCAACGACAGUUUUGGCUCUUGCGUCUAGAGAUUCAAAACCUGAAGAUUUCAACAGGCCAGGACACAUUUUCCCAUUGAAGUACAGGAAGGGUGGUGUCCUGAAAAGAGCUGGUCAUCCGGAGGCUUCUGUUGACCUUGCUAUGUUAGCUGGAAUGGAACCUGUGGCAGUUCUUUGUGAGGUAGUGGAUGACGAUGGCUCCAUUGCAAGAUUACCUAAGCUUCGUGAGUUUGCACAGCAGGAAAAUUUGAAAAUUGUAUCUAUUGCUGAUCUAAUCAAGUAAGUAUUCUCUUCCCAGAAAUCCAAAUGCAAAUAUUUCGUAGGAGUCAAAUCCAAAUUUCAUCUGCAGCUUCCACUUCUUGAGUAUUGGCUGUUUUGGCCAAGAUGUUUUCCAAGCGGCGUCUCCCCUUUUUGGGAGUGGAUAAAUGAAGAAACUUGGAACCCUGGGUGGGGUGGGAAAAAGAGUCUUAUGGGAGGCUGUUGGGCUGUCGUUUUACCUAGCAAAAAGGAGAGAAGCAUGAGCUGUUUUGGUCUAUUCAUGUCUCAAGUUCACUUCAUGCUUUAAGCUUGUGGUUGUUAUUCCCCUCGUCGAUAUCAUGCAGAUCAAUGGUUUGGGUUCCGAAGAGUUGUUUCUCUCAAUUUUUUAUGUGUAUGGUGGUGUUAGAUUAGUAUAUGGGUUCCUCUCUUGCCCGAUGUCUAACUGUAGCAUUUGGUUAUAGGUAGCCAGGAUUCUUGUCAAAGUCAUGCCAAUGAGCUUGUGAUUGCCGUUAUUUUUAUGUACAUUUUCUUGUAUUUACGUUGUUUGAAAACCCAUAUCUAAAUGUCAAUUGACUGUUAACUGAGGCAAAGUUUGAAGUGCAUUCUCGACAUUAUCACUAGGAAAUAAUGGUAGAACAUCUAGAUGGUCAAAGAAGCACUGGUUUGAUGAAUUCUAACUUGUGUAUUGAGAAGCUUCUUAUAUUGUAUGAGUGAGAAAUGAUUUCACUUCUCAUUAGAUGCAUAAAUUUACAGGUACCGCCGGAAAAGAGAUAAAUUAGCUGAACAUGUUGCUGCUGCAAGAUUACCAACAAUGUGGGGGUCAUUCACAGCCCAUUGUUAUAGAUCGUUGGUAGAUGGAAUUGAGCACAUUGUAAUGGUCAAGGUGAGAAAUUAUGAAUUAAUUGCUAAAACCAUUCGAAGAAUUAAGAAACCAAUAAUAGCAUAGUUUCGAAUAAAUUAAUUGUAAACUUUGAGAAUCAUGUUUUUUUUUUUUUUGGUAAAGCUUUGAGAAUCAUGUUCAUAGCAGUGCAUUUUUUUUUUAACAUAACUUCAAUUUGUACUUCAUCUUAUGUACUUCCAGUGCAUGAUUUGUUUGACAUUUUUUUCACUGAAACUGGCUAUAUUGAGAAAUUGAUGGUAUCUUUUAGGUGGAACACCAUGAAAUUUAUAAUGAAAUUUGUUAAAAAAAUGUCAAACCAUGUGUCAAUCAUAAUUUGGAGAACGAAAUUUAUGUUGGCUAACAACGUUGUUUGGACUGGAAUGUUUGACAUCCAGAGGGAUGAUUGUUGGGAUAUUCCUAAAUUGACGAGAACAAUAUUUAUUUUUCACUAACAGUUUAUGAAAUGAUUGAAAAUGGGGCUGUAUAUGUGCGCAAUUGAUAUAGGAAUGCCGUGAUUCUGAUUAAAAAUAGUGUCCUUAAUUUUUCUUAUUUUAUGUUUUGUGUCCUCCCUUCAAACAGCCAUAUUUCUCCUCAUGUGAUUCAGACUUUGUAGUUUAUCAUCUGAACAGGGUGACAUUGGAGAUGGUCAAGAUGUCCUUGUGAGGGUGCACUCGGAAUGCCUCACAGGAGACAUUUUUGGAUCUGCUAGAUGCGACUGUGGCAACCAGCUUGCACUUGCGAUGCAGAAGAUAGAAGCGGCUGGUAGGGGCGUGGUGGCGUACCUCCGAGGGCAUGAAGGAAGAGGCAUAGGUCUGGGGCACAAACUACGUGCCUAUAACCUGCAGGACGAUGGGCGUGACACUGUGGAAGCAAAUGUGGAGCUUGGAUUGCCCGUUGACUCUAGAGAGUACGGAAUUGGUGCUCAGG